UACAGAGGGUGCAAGCGUUAAUCGGAAUUACUGGGCGUAAAGCGUGCGUAGGUGGUUAAAUAAGUCGAAUGUGAAAGCCCUGGGCUUAACCUAGGAACUGCAUUUGAUACUGUUUGGCUAGAGUAUAGUAGAGGGUAGUGGAAUUUCCGGUGUAGCGGUGAAAUGCGUAGAUAUCGGAAGGAACAUCAGUGGCGAAGGCGGCUACCUGGGCUAAUACUGACACUGAGGCACGAAAGCGUGGGUAGCGAACAGG
RNAcentral lists this ribosomal RNA (253 nucleotides) under uncultured bacterium. RNAcentral's name for it is "partial 16S ribosomal RNA". It matches the Rfam family "Bacterial small subunit ribosomal RNA", at positions 524 to 776 of the family's 1533-position model. The record is from RNAcentral.